GGGAAAAGCCCAGCGCAUAAGCUCGCUUUGCCCUUCACCGGGCGCGAGCGGUGUUGCGUUUCGGAGGGUCCGGCACGCCGCCUUACGACGCCUAAGUCAUGCUUGAAAGCGGCCACUACCCAUUGAGGGUGAAAGGCCCGUCUGGCGGAGCCCGUGAGGGCAUAAGUGAGGCGGUCGGAAAGGACCUUUCCGUAGAGUCGGGUUGCUUGAAAGUGCAGCCCAAAGCAGGUGGUAAACUCCAUCUAAGGCUAAAUAUGACCACGAGACCGAUAGCGAACAAGUACCGUGAGGGAAAGUUGAAAAGAACUUUGAAGAGAGAGUUCAAGAGCACGUGAAACCGUUAAGAGCCAAACGGGUGGAACUCGUAGAUCGAACUGAGGGGAUUCAGCUCGUCGGCAGGGGCUGGGGCGGCUGGUGGAUUAUUCCUUAAAGUGACUCACCCGAGGGUGGGCACGCCAUCGUCUCAUUGCCUCUGUCGGCGGGCGUAUUUCGCCUCGUAGUAGGUCACCGCGACCCGUUGCUUGGGGACGUCUAAGGCCCGGGUGGAUUGGUACCUCGCCGUUCCGGCCGCCUCUACUUCGGUGGGGACGGAUUCGGGCGGCGGGGGAAACCCCCGGUGACAUAUCCUGACGGCCCUGCGACGGUGUCUAUCAAUGGCAGGAGGUGUGUCCUUUCUAGGGCACACUACCUCGCGGUGUUAAACCAUAACGGCGGACCACCCGACCCGUCUUGAAACACGGACCAAGGAGUCUAACAUGUGUGCGAGUCAUUGGGCGCACUAAACCCAAAGGCGAAAUGAAAGUGACAGAAAGGGGAGGGGCCCCUCCUUGCCGCAAGGUAAGGAACCCUUCCCCUGGGGCUGAUCCCUGGCCGACAGUCGACCGUGGGGUGCCAGAGGGGGGUGGGAGCUCGGUGAGGCAUUUUCCCGGUUCUUUGUCACCCUUUGGCUUACUCCUGCGUGUCGGCAGUGGCCCACGCCCGCAAUGGGGGGGCGCAAGCCCGGGACUUGCCACCAGUGCACCUCUCGGCGUCCGCGACUGGCCUCUCGGGGCCUUUCCGCGUGGGCUGAGUUGGUAGCCGGCAAGUACCUUGAGCAGACAUGUUGGGACCCGAAAGAUGGUGAACUAUGCUUGGCCAGGACGAAGCCAGAGGAAACUCUGGUGGAGGUCCGCCGCGAUUCUGACGUGCAAAUCGAUCGUCGGAGCUGAGUAUAGGGGCAAAAGACUAAUCGAACCAUCUAGUAGCUGGGGUUCCUUUCCGAAGUUUCCCUCAGGAUAGCUGGUACUCGAGAGUAAUUUCAUCCGGUAAAGCGAAUGAUUAGAGGUCUUGGGGACGAAACGUCCUCAACCUAUUCUCAAACUUUAAAUGGGUGAGAUGCCGAGCUUGCUUGCAAUUGAUCGUUGAAGCUCUGGCGACUAAUAUGAGUACCUAGUGGGCCACUUUUGGUAMCCAGAACUGGCGCUGUGGGAUGAACCAAACGUCGAGUUAAGGGGCCUAAAUGAAUGCUCAUACAGAUCCCACGAAAGGUGUUGGUUGCUAUAGACAGCAGGACGGUGGCCAUGGAAGUUGGAAUCCGCUAAGGAGUGUGUAACAACUCACCUGCCGAAGCAACUAGCCCUUAAAAUGGUAUGGCGCUAAAGCAUUCUCCCGAUACUCGACCGCCGGUGGCACAACAGGCCUAGCCAUGCAGGUCUUGAAGCCCCGGUGAGUAGGAGGGCCGCGGUGGUGAGCGCUGAAGGGUGCGGCGUGAGCCGGCCUGGAGCCGCCACUGGCGCAGAUCUUGGUGGUAGUAGCAAAUAGUCGAGAGAGACUCUACCUGGAAGACCGAUGUGGGGCAGGGUUCCAUGUGAACAUCACUUGGACAUGGGUUAGUCGCUCCUAAGCCCAAGGCUAAUGCCUUAUCCCAUGUGAGAGGCAAGAUGAUCCUACUUAUAAGACGAGUGUCUGCUGGCGCAGAGACACACCGACAAGUCGAUGCCAACAAAAAGACACAGGUGAGGCUGUGUGGCAUCGGCUGAGGGGUGCUCUGCCAGGCUAGUCUGAGGCUACAACCUCCGCCUCGGACAUUUAAUGCCUGGGUGGGUCUGGUCUGCUGUACUACUGUGCAAGGCAACAAUCUCUAGUAUUAGAGCAACGUUGCCUUCUCGGUUUAUGAGGAUUCCUGCACCCUUGUUAGCGGUACCCCUUGGGGAGUAUGUGGUGUAAGAUGGCCUAACAAAGGGCACCACAGACAGAGGUGUGGGGUUUCCCCACACCUUGCUCACCUGACUUAACGCUUUCUCUCAGCCUUGGUAAGGCGCCCGGACCCCUCGUGGCCGGUGUCGCGGAGGCUGAAGAUUGUGGCGCGAGUAUGUGUGAUGGGACACGAAAGCGUUUGGUACUUUUGGAUCAUGGCGUAAGCCUCCCUCCCCAUGCCUGAGGUGUCUGAUUAGGCGGGKUGCCUCCCUUUKCCGGGGGUCCGUUUUUGACUUCACUUGC
Molecule: ribosomal RNA, 2478 nt
Filed under: Lithodes santolla
Lineage: Eukaryota; Metazoa; Arthropoda; Malacostraca; Decapoda; Lithodidae
Description: eukaryotic LSU rRNA
Rfam family: Eukaryotic large subunit ribosomal RNA (bases 1-2004)
Source: RNAcentral